This 146-nucleotide small RNA is filed under the name Chrysemys picta bellii (western painted turtle). RNAcentral's name for it is "TUC338 (ENSCPBG00000007446.1)". The record is from RNAcentral. Lineage: Eukaryota; Metazoa; Chordata; Testudines; Emydidae.
AAGGACCCUUGAGACUGAAAUCCUUUGUUUAUCCACCAAAUGGCUUCCCCACUCUGCCCUGCCAAUAAGUCUCAGCCCUGCUCUAAAGGGGCCACCCCAGGGAUGGGAGGGGAGAGUUCAGUCUCUAAGGCCUAUUCAGUUCAACU